Molecule: ribosomal RNA, 386 nt
Filed under: uncultured bacterium
Lineage: Bacteria
Description: bacterial SSU rRNA
Rfam family: Bacterial small subunit ribosomal RNA
Source: RNAcentral
GACGAACGCUGGCGGCGCGCUUAACACAUGCAAGUCGAGCGAGAACCAGGCCUUCGGGCCUGGGGACAGCGGCGAACGGGUGAGUAACACGUGGGUAAUCAACCCUCGAUACUGGGAUAGCCCGGGGAAACCCGGAUUAAUACCGGAUGGCCCUUUGGAUCCUCGGAUCUGACGGAAAAGGUAGCUUCGGCCUCCGAUCGAGGACGAGCCCGCGGCGGAUUAGCUUGUUGGUGGGGUUUUGGCCUACCAAGGCGACGACGGGUAGCCGGCCUGAGAGGGUGUCCGGCCACACUGGGACUGAGAUACGGCCCAGACUCCUACGGGAGGCAGCAGUGGGGAAUAUUGCACAAUGGGCGCAAGCCUGAUGCAGCGACGCCGCGUGGGGA